GCCAGUGUGGCAGAGUGGUUUGAGCAUUGGACUAUGACUCUGAAAACCAGGGUUCGAACCUCCACUUGGCCA
This is a non-coding RNA of Phrynosoma platyrhinos (Desert horned lizard), 72 nucleotides long. The record is from the annotation of a GenBank genome assembly. Lineage: Eukaryota; Metazoa; Chordata; Lepidosauria; Squamata; Phrynosomatidae.